This 484-nucleotide ribosomal RNA is filed under the name uncultured bacterium. RNAcentral describes it as "partial 16S ribosomal RNA". It matches the Rfam family "Bacterial small subunit ribosomal RNA", at positions 30 to 507 of the family's 1533-position model. The record is from RNAcentral.
AUUGAACGCUGGCGGCAGGCCUAACACAUGCAAGUCGAGCGGAUGAAGGGAGCUUGCUCCUGGAUUCAGCGGUGGACGGGUGAGUAAUGCCUAGGAGUCUGCCUGGUAGUGGGGGAUAACGUCCGGAAACGGGCGCUAAUACCGCAUACGUCCUGAGGGAGAAAGUGGGGGAUCUUCGGACCUCACGCUAUCAGAUGAGCCUAGGUCGGAUUAGCUAGUUGGUGGGGUAAAGGCCUACCAAGGCGACGAUCCGUAACUGGUCUGAGAGGAUGAUCAGUCACACUGGAACUGAGACACGGUCCAGACUCCUACGGGAGGCAGCAGUGGGGAAUAUUGGACAAUGGGCGAAAGCCUGAUCCAGCCAUGCCGCGUGUGUGAAGGAGGUCUUCGGAUUGUAAAGCACUUUAAGUUGGGAGGAAGGGCAGUAAGUUAAUACCUUGCUGUUUUGACGUUACCAACAGAAUAAGCACCGGCUAACUUCGUG